UACGAAGGGGGCUAGCGUUGUUCGGAUUUACUGGGCGUAAAGCGCACGUAGGCGGUUUGUUAAGUGAGAGGUGAAAUCCCAGAGCUCAACUCUGGAACUGCCUUUCAUACUGGCAAGCUAGAGUCCGGAAGAGGUAAGUGGAACUCCUAGUGUAGAGGUGGAAUUCGUAGAUAUUAGGAAGAACACCAGUGGCGAAGGCGGCUUACUGGUCCGGAACUGACGCUGAGGUGCGAAAGCGUGGGGGAGCAAAACAGG
This 255-nucleotide ribosomal RNA is filed under the name uncultured bacterium. RNAcentral's name for it is "partial 16S ribosomal RNA". It matches the Rfam family "Bacterial small subunit ribosomal RNA", at positions 524 to 776 of the family's 1533-position model. The record is from RNAcentral.